AUACGGAGGAUGCGAGCGUUAUCCGGAUUUAUUGGGUUUAAAGGGAGCGUAGGUGGGAUAUUAAGUCAGCUGUGAAAGUUUGGGGCUCAACCUUAAAAUUGCAGUUGAUACUGGUUUCCUUGAGUACGGUAUAGGUGGGCGGAAUUCGUGGUGUAGCGGUGAAAUGCUUAGAUAUCACGGAGAACUCCGAUCGCGAAGGCAGCUCACCGGGCCGGAACUGACACUGAUGCUCGAAAGUGCGGGUAUCAAACAGGAUUAGAUACCCUGGUAGUCCGCACAGUAAACGAUGAAUACUCGCUGUUUGCGAUACACUGUAAGCGGCCAAGCGAAAGCGUUAAGUAUUCCACCUGGGGAGUACGCCGGCAACGGUGAAACUCAAAGGAAUUGACGGGG
RNAcentral lists this ribosomal RNA (393 nucleotides) under uncultured bacterium. RNAcentral describes it as "partial 16S ribosomal RNA". It matches the Rfam family "Bacterial small subunit ribosomal RNA", at positions 523 to 918 of the family's 1533-position model. The record is from RNAcentral.